This 73-nucleotide transfer RNA is filed under the name Araneus ventricosus. Its description in RNAcentral is "tRNA-Gly". The record is from RNAcentral. Lineage: Eukaryota; Metazoa; Arthropoda; Arachnida; Araneae; Araneidae.
UGGUUCCGCCCGGGAUCGGGCCGGGGACCUUUCGCGUGGAAAGCGAACGUGAUAACCACUACACUACGGAACC